Molecule: ribosomal RNA, 459 nt
Filed under: uncultured bacterium
Lineage: Bacteria
Description: partial 16S ribosomal RNA
Rfam family: Bacterial small subunit ribosomal RNA
Source: RNAcentral
CCUACGGAGGGCAGCAGUGAGGAAUAUUGGUCAAUGGGCGGGAGCCUGAACCAGCCAAGCCGCGUGAGGGAAGAAGGUACAGCGUAUCGUAAACCUCUUUUGUCAGGGAACAAAGGCGGGGACUAGUCCCCGGAUGAGGGUACCUGAAGAAAAAGCAUCGGCUAACUCCGUGCCAGCAGCCGCGGUAAUACGGAGGAUGCGCGCGUUAUCCGGAUUUAUUGGGUUUAAAGGGUGCGCAGGCGGCCUGUUAAGUCAGCGGGAAAAGCCCGGGGCUCAACCCCGGCGAGCCGUUGAAACUGGCGGGCUGGAGUUGGAGAGAAGGACGCGGAAUGCGCGGUGUAGCGGUGAAAUGCUUAGAUAUCGCGCAGAACCCCGAUUGCGAAGGCAGCGUACCGGCUCCACACUGACGCUGAGGCACGAAAGCGUGGGUAUCGAACAGGAUUAGAUACCCCUGUAGUC